This 415-nucleotide ribosomal RNA is filed under the name uncultured bacterium. RNAcentral describes it as "bacterial SSU rRNA". It matches the Rfam family "Bacterial small subunit ribosomal RNA", at positions 356 to 774 of the family's 1533-position model. The record is from RNAcentral.
GGGGAAUAUUGGACAAUGGGCGGAAGCCUGAUCCAGCAACGCCGCGUGAGGGAUGACGGCCUUCGGGUUGUAAACCUCUUUCAGCACAGACGAAGCGCCCUGUCGGGUGGUGACGGUAUGUGCAGAAGAAGCACCGGCCAACUACGUGACAGCAGCCGCGGUAAUACGUAGGGUGCAAGCGUUGUCCGGAAUUAUUGGGCGUAAAGAGCUCGUAGGCGGUCUGUCGCGUCGGCUGUGAAAACUCGGGGCUCAACCCCGAGCCUGCAGUCGAUACGGGCAGACUAGAGUGCUGUAGGGGAGACUGGAAUUCCUGGUGUAGCGGUGAAAUGCGCAGAUAUCAGGAGGAACACCGGUGGCGAAGGCGGGUCUCUGGGCAGUAACUGACGCUGAGGAGCGAAAGCGUGGGGAGCAAACA